CAACCCACUCUCUGUGCUAUGACUUCAUUACUCUUUCCCAGCCCAGCCCUGGGCAAGCCCCUUACGAAGUCUCAGGCUACCUGGAUGACCACCCUUUCUUAUGAUGCUGCAAGGAGGGCAGGUGGGCAGAGCCCCGUGCAUCCUGGGCUCAGGCCAGGGACCCAAGAGCUUGGGAGAAGCUGGUUCUCAGACUGAAGGCCAGAGCCCAGCACCUUGUCACCAUCCCGGGGAGCAUCAUGGCACACAACAACCAGAGCCAAGGCUACAGCUAGAGAGUUGACUCCUCUAUUUGAGAUUGACAGGCCUCGGAAGUCAAAAUAAGUGGUUUCCUAGACCGGGUCGAGAGCAAGUCUCUAUUGGUCCCAACUGAGUUUUUUCAGCUGGUUUUUCAACCAAACAGCACCUCAUCUCCCAGUGAGGGGAAGGGAAGGCUGGGCUGAGAGCAGCAAGGCUGCUCAUCUCACCUCUCCCCACCCAGCCAUGCCAGCCGCCUCACCUGGUGGGGAGAGGUGGGCCUCACCUGGGUCCCCUGGCAGUGCUCUGUGAAGGGUCUUGACAUUGCACUGUAAUAAUAAAGGUGUGUGUGAAGUAUC
Molecule: long non-coding RNA, 593 nt
Filed under: Homo sapiens (human)
Lineage: Eukaryota; Metazoa; Chordata; Mammalia; Primates; Hominidae
Description: non-protein coding PSORS1C3:3
Source: RNAcentral